RNAcentral lists this transfer RNA (72 nucleotides) under Ovis aries (sheep). It matches the Rfam family "tRNA". From Rfam's summary of the family: Transfer RNA (tRNA) molecules are approximately 80 nucleotides in length. Lineage: Eukaryota; Metazoa; Chordata; Mammalia; Artiodactyla; Bovidae. The record is from Rfam by way of RNAcentral.
UCCCUGGUGAUCCAGUGGUUAGGACUCUGUGCUUCUACUGUAGGGGCCCAGGUUUGAUCCCUGGUCAGGGAG